Gorilla gorilla gorilla (western lowland gorilla) is the source of this 404-nucleotide long non-coding RNA. RefSeq lists it as uncharacterized. Lineage: Eukaryota; Metazoa; Chordata; Mammalia; Primates; Hominidae. The transcript has 3 exons. The record is from RefSeq and is a predicted model, not a curated record.
GCCGAGCGAACGAGGGCGUAUCACAACUCAUUCGGUCCCGCUGCCUAGAUGGGCGAGCCAACCAGAAGCGUGCUGCUGCCCUUUUCACUGCCACUAUGCGGCAGGUUCCAGGUUCUUGUUCUGUGACCAGAAGAAUGAGAGACAAGUUGCGAUGUUCCCCAAGCUGAUCUCAAAUACCUGGCCUCAAGUUAUCCCCCCACCUCAGCCUCCCAGGUUGGGAUUGCAGGUACACACCAGCACGUCUUUGUGAACCUAUUGGAAGAAUCAUAUGGUCAACUGAAAAAGUGUUUGACGACAACUUGCUGCAUAGAGACAGAGAAGACACGCGGGCAUAUGCUUUGGACUGCAAAAUCCCUAAAGUGUCCUUCCAAAUGUUAAAUGGGGAUUCUAUAAAAGAAGCAACA